Molecule: long non-coding RNA, 1625 nt
Organism: Ictidomys tridecemlineatus (thirteen-lined ground squirrel)
Lineage: Eukaryota; Metazoa; Chordata; Mammalia; Rodentia; Sciuridae
Source: RefSeq, a predicted model, not a curated record
GGGGGUGCAGAGAAAGCAAUGACUGCCUGGUGGCCUGGCAUCAUGGGAAGGAAGGUCUGGUGGAAGUCCUCCAAAGCCAGAGAGCCGCCUGAAAACAGGAGGCAGAGCACACCUCUCGCCUGGCAGGUGGGCUUCUUGAGAUCGCUAACUCCGCCCUAACGCCAAGAAACUGAGCCCGAACUCCAAAGCAGGGAAGAAAAUGCUGCCUUUGAAAUUGUUUGCACACGACAAACUCCAGGUCCAGGCCCCCACCCAGGCACCCCAUAUGUCCACAGUGCCACCGCCAGGAAAAGACAAGGACCUGGGGCCUGGCUCUGAGACAAGCUUCUCCGAGAGAGACCGAGCUCGCCCCAGGGCGGGAAAGGAAGCCAGAAAGCUCCGGGCGCCGCGGACCAGAGCUUGGAGGGACGAGGGGGACCCAGGCCACGCAGGCCCGGCUCCCAGAGCGGAAACAGUGGGAGUGUGCAGAAAGGGUUGAAGUCUUUGGAGGCAGAUAAGCCCGCCUUGCAAUCCUGAUUUAACUGCUGACCCAGCUUUGUGAUCUUCAGCAAGUUCUUCAGCUCUGAACAUCAGCUUCUUUAUCUGUAAGAUGAAAUUCAAUAGUAGAUACAGUGCCUAACCCACAGCAAGUAAGUAUAGAGUAUUUUCCUUCUCUGGUCUCCCACCAUUUUUUAAAUAAGAAAAGUAACUAGAACCUAAAGUCCUAUACUGAUUCUCAACUGCUGGUGAUUUUGCCCCCCAGGGACGCUGAGCCACUUCUGCAGACAUUUUCGAUUGUCACAACUGGGGGGAGGGGUACCUACUGGCAUCUAAACAUCCUGCAAGGCACAAGACAGCCUCUACAACAAAAAAUGACCUAGUCUAAAAUGUCAAUAGUGCCAGUGUUUUAAGAAGUUUGCAGCAGGAUAAUCUGGCUAAGAGGUCAUUCAUGGUAGACUAGUUCCAUCUUUUUAACUUUCAUCCCCAAGAAAAGAGUUAUGUCUUGCAUCAAGAUGAACAAAGCAUUGUGGGGAUCACAGCAAUUAUUUUUAUACACAAAGCCUUCACUUAACAUGAAAAAUGCAAAUUGGAAUUUUAUCUUUUCAUUACUAAAGGAAUAAAUACAGUCCAGACAUCAUUCCAUGUUUCCAUUUGUCCUUAGACACUUCUGUAUUUUCUCUCUCUCUCCUUCAUUCCUCAUUUACCCUGAAGUUGACAGUAUAGUCCCUGCCCCAAGGAACAUACAGCCUCCCUUAGAGGUGGAUUAAUGCAGAUGCAACAAUUAAGGAACAAUAGAAGAUAACAUAUAAUUAAGCUUUAAUUGCAGCACCUGACUAAGGUGGCUCAGGAAAGGGAAAUGAGUGCAGGCAGCAAAGCUGGGCUUGCCUGUGGGGCCGAGGUGUUCAGGAAAUGUUUGUUGCAUAAAAUGAAAUAGGAAGAGUUCCUUCCACAGAGUUGGACUCCAGCUGGUAUAUAAACUCCAAUACAGGAUUUAAACUGCUAGAUUUUAUAAAUGUGUAUUGGUGUCUGGCUAUGAAUUUAUUUUUCUUAAAGCAUCUAGUUCAAACUUUUAACUUUUAACCAUUUAUGUUUCCUAAAAUGACUGAACUUUAAUAAAACCAAAACGCUCAUUCAUUUGACAAAUA